This 390-nucleotide long non-coding RNA is filed under the name Selaginella moellendorffii. RNAcentral's name for it is "long non-coding RNA (SMOE_LNC002022)". Lineage: Eukaryota; Viridiplantae; Streptophyta; Lycopodiopsida; Selaginellales; Selaginellaceae. The record is from RNAcentral.
UAUAGUCCUCCUCGCUUAGAUUGUAUCAUCCUUCUCCUUCUCUUUUCUCCUCCCUCCUCUACUUCUUCUUCUUCUUCCUUUCAUUCCUCUCGAUCUUAGCAUCCAGUUGAUCGGUUCUAGCGCCUUGCUUCCUCCCCAAAAUCAGAAAUUGAGAAUCUGGGUCGCCAUUUCCACGCAUUGGGUCUCCGAAGAUGCAGCUCCUCCUGGAAUCCACUCGCUAAUUCCCCCUCACCGAGCCUCUAACCAAUCCAACAGAGUAGAAAAGAGAAGAUUAGUAGAGAAAUAUGGAUACCUCUGCGUGGCUUAACUUGCAACCGGAUCUUACAAAGCUAGAAGAUGACGCUGGCCUCGCGCUCAAUCUCACCGAUAGACUAGGAAUUCAGCAGCAGC